This 293-nucleotide unclassified non-coding RNA is filed under the name plant metagenome. RNAcentral describes it as "partial contains small subunit ribosomal RNA and internal transcribed spacer 1". The stretch from base 1 to 53 matches the Rfam family "Eukaryotic small subunit ribosomal RNA", at positions 1779 to 1831 of the family's 1831-position model. The record is from RNAcentral.
GGAAUAAAAGUCGUAACAAGGUUUCCGUAGGUGAACCUGCGGAAGGAUCAUUAAUGAGUUGUCAUGGGGUUCGAUGCUGGCAGCCAGUUUUUGGAUGCAUGUGCUUGCCCUAACAAUCAUCUUCUUCCAAACACCUGUGCACAUUUUUGAGGGAGUCUUGAGUUGGUUGCCGCUCUUGGGUGAUUUUCUCACAUUCCCUUAAAUCAUUAUACGCUAUUAACAAUGUUGAACGUGCUCUGUGCCGCAAGGCCAUUAAUAUAAUACAACUCUUAACAACGGAUCUCUUGGCUCUC